This 484-nucleotide ribosomal RNA is filed under the name uncultured bacterium. Its description in RNAcentral is "partial 16S ribosomal RNA". It matches the Rfam family "Bacterial small subunit ribosomal RNA", at positions 30 to 507 of the family's 1533-position model. The record is from RNAcentral.
AUUGAACGCUGGCGGCAGGCCUAACACAUGCAAGUCGAGCGGAUGAAGGGAGCUUGCUCCUGGAUUCAGCGGCGGACGGGUGAGUAAUGCCUAGGAAUCUGCCUGGUAGUGGGGGAUAACGUCCGGAAACGGGCGCUAAUACCGCAUACGUCCUGAGGGAGAAAGUGGGGGAUCUUCGGACCUCACGCUAUCAGAUGAGCCUAGGUCGGAUUAGCUAGUUGGUGGGGUAAAGGCCUACCAAGGCGACGAUCCGUAACUGGCCUGAGAGGAUGAUCAGUCACACUGGAACUGAGACACGGCCCAGACUCCUACGGGAGGCAGCAGUGGGGAAUAUUGGACAAUGGGCGAAAGCCUGAUCCAGCCAUGCCGCGUGUGUGAAGAAGGUCUUCGGAUUGUAAAGCACUUUAAGUUGGGAGGAAGGGCAGUAAGUUAAUACCUUGCUGUUUUGACGUUACCAACAGAAUAAGCACCGGCUAACUUCGUG